This 322-nucleotide unclassified non-coding RNA is filed under the name Hevea brasiliensis (rubber tree). Lineage: Eukaryota; Viridiplantae; Streptophyta; Magnoliopsida; Malpighiales; Euphorbiaceae. The record is from RNAcentral.
GAUGUUUUGAGCAAAGACAUAUUGAUGAUGAUAAUGAUGAGAAACAGUUUCACUUAUGAAGGUUUGGCACGCUGGAUUUUGUAGACGAGCCAACAUACAGCAAUAUUUUAUAAAAUACGUCUAUCUGUGUCAUGUCAGUGCAUGUGUUUUCACAUGCAUCACUGAGACAUCGAAAUUGAUUUUAAUUUUUUUUAAAAUAAAAAUUUCUGGUGCUCAAUAGGUUAAUAUAAAAAUACAAGAGUAAACAGGCUUUCUCAUUGGAAUUUUAGAGCUCCUAGAUAGGCUACUUCUCAUGUUUAUGCACAUAGUAUCAACCAGUGGC